Long non-coding RNA from Corvus hawaiiensis (hawaiian crow), 5215 nucleotides. RefSeq lists it as uncharacterized. Lineage: Eukaryota; Metazoa; Chordata; Aves; Passeriformes; Corvidae. The transcript is spliced from 3 exons. The record is from RefSeq and is a predicted model, not a curated record.
CGGCAUCGCUUCCCGCUCUGGCCGGCCGGCGGCAGCCGCCGCCCCGGGACCAGCCCCACCGCGGGCACGGCGGAGCGGAACUGAUAAAUGAACAAGUGAAAGCUGUCAUUCAACCUGCAUACCACAGAAAGUAACUAUCUAGAAAGUGUACUAAGCAUUCCCUGGAACUUUAUGAAUACACAGAUGAUGAGGUGCUGUAACUGGAGACAAUGUUGACAACAUCUAAAAAGUCCACAAGUUUUGCCUCUUUCCUCCAAUUCCUAUUGCCAUCCCACCAUGGGGACGGGUGUGAGGGAACAGCUGCAUGGUACUUAGUUGACAGCUAGGGUUAAACCAUUACACCUGGUUUACACAUGUUGCACCUGCUUAACUGAAAUUAUCUCAUCACAGAAAGAUCAAGUGCAUGCUGCAGACAUGGUGUUGGUUCAUCAGUGAACCUAGUGCAGGCAGACAGAGCCAGAAGCUUGCAGAAAAUGAACUUGGAAGAUAGGUUCCUUUGACUGUAACAAAGGCAAAGUGAAACAGAACAUUCAGGGUAUUCUGAAAUAUUAGAAAUAGGUUUAAAUAAAUUGUAUGCAUAUUCAUCCCUCCAGAAUUAGUAAAAAAUUUGCAGUGUAAACUCUGACUUCUAGAAAUAUUCAGGGGAAAAAAAAAUCAAAACAGGAAAUAAGAAUAUCUGGGAAAAAAGAAAAAAGGCAAAUAAUCCAGGAAUGUAACAAUUAGUGCUAGUAACCCAUAAAAAUGCAUAUAAAGGCAUCCACUCAGUCGUUAUUGGAGUAAAAACAUUUAUCUCUAGGACAUGCCAUACUGUUUCAAAUAAUCAAAACUGUCCAGAGAAUUUUGAAUGCUAAAUGAGGUCCACUUCAACCAAUGUAGAGGAUAAAUACCUCACCACUGCUAUCUGGGUGACAAGAUAUAUGGCAUGAGCAGUUUCAUGGAAUUCCUCAACAAUUUUUUCAACAAUAACAAAAAAUCUAAGUCAAUCAAAUAACUUACUCUUCUUCGGAUCUCAUCUCCAUGCCCCAGUUCUGCAAAAUGUAUAAUCAUUGUUUAAAUCUGACCCACAUACUAAGACUCAGCUUUAAUCUGUGCAAAAGCCACCCCAAGAAAGACAGAUCAAAAAGUUGUGCUGAAGCUGUUCUGAGCAGAAGCAGGUGCUGAGUCAGUGGUGGUGAUUCUAUUUUCACUCUUUGUUUCUCCUGCCUCUUACUGCCCUAAUGAUGCUGUGUGUUGUUCACAGCCUGGGAGGUUCAGAGGAUAGCUCUUUUUGAAAACACUCUGUGACAGAGACUUUCAGAUGCUAUUGCUAGAGGACAUGUGAAAAUGCUAUUCAUGCAAAUAAUUAGCCUUGUGCUUCCUGAAGCCUUCUCUCACAGCUGGCCUCUGGGGGAGCAGAGGGGCAUGAAUAUGAAAUAGUUGAUAGAAGUAUUGGGUCAACUAUAAUAACAUGACUAAUUUUACCUGGAAGAUAAUUUCUUUCACAGCUUUCAUGCAUUUCAGAGAAUACUACCAUUUGGCCUCUAGUGGCUUUGGGAAUAUUUUAUUCUCAAUUUCCUAUUAUUCUGGAUCUCUCCCAGAUGAAGAAAUAUCUUUCCGUAGUAAAGACAUGGGCACAUUCAUUUGCACCUGUACUGCUUGUUUUACAGCCAGUUAGACUGGCUGCGUGAUACGACAUAGGAAAAAUAACGAAAAUGAGAUAACAUAAGAUAACUUAUGCAGAAAUCCAGCAUCAACAUUGUUUUCCAUUGGAGAGACAUGGCAGACCAGAUUCAGGUAUUGUCAAGAAAUGAAAAAUGCUUGUGAACUUUCCCUGGCCGAUCCAAGGUGUUGUAUUGCAUUUUAUGCCACUAAAACAGUAACAAUGAUAACAACAAACAAGCAUGCCUGUCAGGCACAUGUUAAUGCAAGUUGAAAUGACUGCUGUAUGCCUCUCUCCCUGUUAGAAAAGUGUGGAUAACUCACUGAAAAAGUUUUCUGAUGAUAGUACUGAUCUGAGAGAAAGAAUGUGGUAAAUUGAAAAGCUGAGAUUUUGGAUUAUGGCUGAGCACAGUUAUAAGUGUAGCAACUACCUGGAUUGGUUCACUGUCUUCUGGCUAGGUAAUUUCUGUGUUUUCUCAAGGUGUUAUGUUUCUAAUUGCAGGAUAUCUGAAUGCUGUACAAGGGUAACAAAUUUUAUCAUUCUUCGCAGAGCUCUGAAUGGUGGCAGUUGUGCACUACUUUUUAGAGUAGCUGCCUAAAGAUUCAUUGCAUCUGAUGAUAUAUUAUUCCUCAUUCUUUGCUCUUCUUGAGUUAAAAACCCCAAAGAGACACAGAUUUCUGGUUAAAUUUAGUGCUGAGAUAUUUCCCCAUUUGUUUUCAUUAAAAAUUCCCUGAUCCUUUUUUGACCCACUCAGAAUAUGAGCUCAGUGGAAAUGUUGGUGAACCCAGACUGAUCACUAAUGAGCUGGAGCUGACCUCUGCACUUCAUGGAGAUGAAUUUUAUCUUGCAUUUAUUCAAUUAUAACCAGAACCUUGAAAAAAAAUGGGGUCUAGUCCACAGAUAACUGAAGGCAAUAAAACUUUUAAACAUAUUUUGAAAGUCCUUGGAUGAAUUUAUUGUUUAUGCCCCUUGCAUGUGGAUUCUCACUGAAAUCUGAAAUUCAAGCCCUAGAAAUAAAAGGUCAGUAUUCUAAAAAGAAAAGAAAGACAUAAUUAUUAUGUGCAAUUGAAGAAAAAGUAUUUUGAAUGGGUAAAGGUUAUAUCUGGGCUUAUAACAGAUCCAUUUUUCACUGUUUAUCUAGACCUGCCAGUGUAACCUGAAACACUCCUGUGAGAUCAUCAGAUGGAAGAUUUAUAGCUAGCUGGGAUUCAUUUAAUCUGACUGAAGAAAACCAAAGUCUACGAGAACUUCUACAGGAGAUCUGGUUCUUACUGGUAUCAGUGUCCUGGUUUCUGUGUGAUUGAUGCUGCCCUGAUUAUAUACCAUACUAGGGAGGUAACUCUCAGAUGCCACCAGCCCCAUCACCAUUACCUGGGAAGCUUACAUAGGCCGUGCUGGUCUUGCUCAGUCCAGAAGAUGGUAUCUGUCCUGAACAGCUUUGACAGAAACCGACAGCUUAGCAAACAGAUGAGAAGCCCAUGUGGCAAGAAUUUGGCAUGAAAACACACCCUAAGAAGGCAGACACAGCAUUGUGCUGUGUGGAGCUGAGAUGCAGUUAACACAGGCUGCCCCCUCUUGAUGGCAGCAUGAAUGCACUUUGCUGUCAAUGGUGGUUUUACUGCAUAACGAUAAAAAAUUGGGAGCAGCGUCCCCUGCACUGAGAGUGUGAUUCCCCUCUGGAAGGGAUAAUUAUGCAUGGGCUGUUUACUCCUGAUAAAACAGUUAAGUGAUAUCCAUGCCACUUGCAGAAAAGCCUAGAUUACGUGGGCUUUCCCUGUAAAAGCAUGCAGUAAUCAGGCAGAUCCACAUACCUUUUGUCCUUCACAACCGGGCAUGAAAGGACUAGAUGGCUAGAAGCUGUAUUUAUCUUCUUCAGCUGCUUUCUCUUCAGCUGCCUGUGCAGUUCCUGCAGUGCGAUAGGGUUUGAUGAAAUUACAAGGAUGUAAAUUUGACAAGGUAUUCCCAUGUCUGUUGGGAUGCAGACAGUUUUAUGAGUUUUCCAGAGUUGCAAGGCAUUUAAUUGGGCAGGCAUAGCUCCCAGGAGAAGGUAUUUUUAGUUCUGUUGAGUAAUAUACUACCUCCACUGGUCAGAUUUAUACCAUACUCAAGCUAUCUGAACUGUCAUGCUUUUCUCUUGCGUUAUUGUUAACUGCAUGACAGAUCACACUGCAUUUGUCCGAAGUAUAGCAGCACAUGUGCAUCACCUUGGCAUCCGUCUCUGGCUUAUUAUUGUACAUCUGUUGGUUGUCAUUCAGAGCUCUUUCACACUUAAAUGCAUGUACUCACCAGGAGCUAAUCACCAAAGCUUGCCCACAGUGCCAUUCUAAAGAUGGAAAUCUUUGGAUGGGAUACCCUUCCAAACAGAUUAUUGGCCAUAUUGCCAUGAGGACAAUCUCACAAGGAAAACGUCUCCUUUGAUUACUCUGCAUGACUUCCCCUUUAAUGCAAUUUUUAACUGUCACUUUCAAACUUUUUUGCACCUCUUCCUGUAACAUCCCAUCUUUGACAUUUUUCUCCAAGCACCAAAUCUUGUAAAGGUCUCACAACAUCUGAACUUCUCUGUUACAUCAUGGAAGUACAUGCUUUAAAGAAGCCAUUCAUAAUUAAACCCUGCUUUUUCACAUCUUCUGUACAUACAACUGUAACAGUUCUUAGUUCCUAGUUCCUAGUUUUCUAGGUGGAUUCUAGAGUCUGGGUUUUUAAACUAAUAUAAUGCUGGAUCCUUCCUAAAUUCACAAAGGUCUCUGCCAAACAGGGAGACCUUGUAACAAUCCUUCCUUAAUCCACUCCUCCUACCUAGCAUUUUCAGAUGUGUAUUUUUUAUUCAGACUACCUUCCAAAUUUUAAAAACUCAUGAUUAGAUUUUUUAAUGCCUGAUUCAUCUAUUUUGAGAGAAAAUCCUAAGCUGAAUACUUCUUUAUGAAUUGCAAAUAACAUUUUCAUUGACUUUUUUUCACCCGUGAUGCUUACAAUUCUUUUAACUGGAAUAAAUAUUCUAGCAGAAAAUGAACUGCAAGGAACAGAUUUUUUGAUGUAAAAUGAAAGGAUCUAUUGCUUCAUGGAAGUUUCUUCUUGAAAACAGAAUGUGAAAAUGAAGACAGUUUUUUUUCCAUAAAGAAAGGCAACCUUCACUGUCUGAACUUAAUCACAGUCUUCAGUUUGGAAUAUAUUCUUCAUUCCAUGUUUUUUAAAUCAAUUCACAGCAUCAUAAAGCUUCCCUAAUAUAUUGACACUCCCUCCAAUAUUUUACUCAGUCAGAUGACCAAAUUCCACUUAAAUUAAUAGCAGCUCAAAGCCAAUCAAAUACAGUAGAUUUUCUUUCUACAUGUGAUUACACUAUGGGAGUCAGGAGAUAAUUGACUGCAAAAAAAUACAAAAUUUUGAAAGAAUUUUCCAACUUUAGGUACAAUUGAACUUGGAACAACUAUUCUAAAUAUUUAUGCUAUGCUUGAAGUUAUCUGGAAUGCUACUGAAGAGUUUCUAAAAGAUUUUCAGUCUGACAUUGACUCCCUUUAUGUAGUAAUAAAGACCUAAUUUUAAUUAUAACAUUGUGACUCAUUCUGGUUGGGCAAAGGA